CUACGGGGCGCUGCAGUGGGGAAUAUUGGACAAUGGGCGAAAGCCUGAUCCAGCAAUGCCGCGUGAGUGAUGAAGGCCUUAGGGUUGUAAAGCUCUUUUACCCGGGAUGAUAAUGACAGUACCGGGAGAAUAAGCUCCGGCUAACUCCGUGCCAGCAGCCGCGGUAGUACGGAGGGAGCUAGCGUUGUUCGGAAUUACUGGGCGUAAAGCGCACGUAGGCGGCUUUGUAAGUUAGAGGUGAAAGCCCGGGGCUCAACUCCGGAACUGCCUUUAAGACUGCAUCGCUUGAAUCCAGGAGAGGUGAGUGGAAUUCCGAGUGUAGAGGUGAAAUUCGUAGAUAUUCGGAAGAACACCAGUGGCGAAGGCGGCUCACUGGACUGGUAUUGACGCUGAGGUGCGAAAGCGUGGGGAGCAAACAGGAUUAGAUACCCGCGUAGUC
RNAcentral lists this ribosomal RNA (439 nucleotides) under uncultured bacterium. RNAcentral's name for it is "partial 16S ribosomal RNA". It matches the Rfam family "Bacterial small subunit ribosomal RNA", at positions 339 to 795 of the family's 1533-position model. The record is from RNAcentral.